UUGAACGCUGGCGGCAUGCCUUACACAUGCAAGUCGAACGGUAACAGGUCUUCGGAUGCUGCCGAGUGGCGACCGGGUGAGUAAUACAUCGGAACGUGCCCGAUCGUGGGGGAUAACGCAGCGAAAGCUGUGCUAAUACCGCAUACGAUCUACGGAUGAAAGCGGGGGAUCGCAAGACCUCGCGCGGACGGAGCGGCCGAUGGCAGAUUAGGUAGUUGGUGGGAUAAAAGCUUACCAAGCCGACGAUCUGUAGCUGGUCUGAGAGGACGACCAGCCACACUGGGACUGAGACACGGCCCAGACUCCUACGGGAGGCAGCAGUGGGGAAUUUUGGACAAUGGGCGCAAGCCUGAUCCAGCCAUGCCGCGUGCAGGAUGAAGGCCUUCGGGUUGUAAACUGCUUUUGUACGGAACGAAAAAGCUCUCUCUAAUACAGGGGGUGAAUGACGGUACCGUAAGAAUAAGCACCGGCUAACUACGUG
RNAcentral lists this ribosomal RNA (481 nucleotides) under uncultured bacterium. RNAcentral describes it as "partial 16S ribosomal RNA". It matches the Rfam family "Bacterial small subunit ribosomal RNA", at positions 30 to 507 of the family's 1533-position model. The record is from RNAcentral.